RNAcentral lists this ribosomal RNA (492 nucleotides) under uncultured bacterium. RNAcentral's name for it is "partial 16S ribosomal RNA". It matches the Rfam family "Bacterial small subunit ribosomal RNA", at positions 29 to 507 of the family's 1533-position model. The record is from RNAcentral.
AGUGAACGCUGGCGGUAGGCCUAACACAUGCAAGUCGAACGGCAGCACAGUAAGAGCUUGCUCUUACGGGUGGCGAGUGGCGGACGGGUGAGGAAUACAUCGGAAUCUACUUUUUCGUGGGGGAUAACGUAGGGAAACUUACGCUAAUACCGCAUACGACCUACGGGUGAAAGCAGGGGAUCUUCGGACCUUGCGCGAUUGAAUGAGCCGAUGUCGGAUUAGCUAGUUGGCGGGGUAAAGGCCCACCAAGGCGACGAUCCGUAGCUGGUCUGAGAGGAUGAUCAGCCACACUGUAACUGAGACACGGUCCAGACUGCUACGGGAGGCAGCAGUGGGGAAUAUUGGACAAUGGGCGCAAGCCUGAUCCAGCCAUACCGCGUGGGUGAAGAAGGCCUUCGGGUUGUAAAGCCCUUUUGUUGGGAAAGAAAAGCAGCAGGUUAAUACCCCGCUGUUCUGACGGUACCCAAAGAAUAAGCACCGGCUAACUUCGUG